AGACGUCUACAUUAGAUACCCGUGUAGUCCCAGCCGUAAACUAUGCGCGUUAGGUGUAUCGGUGACCACGAGUUACCGAGGUGCCGAAGGGAAACCGUGAAACGUGCCGCCUGGGAAGUACGGUCGCAAGGCUGAAACUUAAGGGAAUUGGCGGGGGAGCACCACAACGGGUGGAGCCUGCGGUUUAAUUGGACUCAACGCCGGGAAGCUCACCGGAUAAGACAGCGGAAUGAUUGCCGGGCUGAAGACUCUGCAUGACUAGCUG
This 265-nucleotide ribosomal RNA is filed under the name uncultured archaeon. Its description in RNAcentral is "partial 16S ribosomal RNA". It matches the Rfam family "Archaeal small subunit ribosomal RNA", at positions 717 to 982 of the family's 1478-position model. The record is from RNAcentral.